Pristis pectinata (smalltooth sawfish) is the source of this 211-nucleotide long non-coding RNA. RefSeq lists it as uncharacterized. The record is from RefSeq and is a predicted model, not a curated record. NCBI's taxonomy places the organism in Eukaryota, Metazoa, Chordata, Chondrichthyes, Rhinopristiformes, Pristidae. The transcript is spliced from 3 exons.
GGCAAACUACAAAUGUUAUGCUGCCUGACCCACUGAGUUCCUCCAGCGCUUUGUGUGUUGCUCCUGAAUGCACUGCCCAGCUUGCCAGAGAUUGCAUUAAGCCUCAUUGGAUUCCAUCAAGGCUUCUUCCUGGAAAAGGCCAGCCUUCUUUGGGGAAUGAGGCUCCAAAUGAUGAGGCUGCAGAUGAAGAGGUUGACAUUGAAGGUCUAAG